UGCAGCCUUGUCAAAUUCAGUGUGUUCUUUACAGUGGACCUCACUGGCCAAAGUGGCUGCCACAGAGACUGUAGUUCAUGGGCCCCAACUCAUUACAUCAUGGAGUGUGGGGAUAAAUAAGUGCUACAGACAAAU
Molecule: small nucleolar RNA, 135 nt
Organism: Anabas testudineus (climbing perch)
Lineage: Eukaryota; Metazoa; Chordata; Actinopteri; Anabantiformes; Anabantidae
Product: small nucleolar RNA SNORA5
Source: Ensembl